GAGGAGUGGCGGACGGGUGAGUAACACGUGGGUAACCUACCCAUCAGAGGGGGAUAACACUUGGAAACAGGUGCUAAUACCGCAUAACAGUUUAUGCCGCAUGGCAUAAGAGUGAAAGGCGCUUUCGGGUGUCGCUGAUGGAUGGACCCGCGGUGCAUUAGCUAGUUGGUGAGGUAACGGCUCACCAAGGCCACGAUGCAUAGCCGACCUGAGAGGGUGAUCGGCCACACUGGGACUGAGACACGGCCCAGACUCCUACGGGAGGCAGCAGUAGGGAAUCUUCGGCGAUGGACGAAAGUCUGACCGAGCAACGCCGCGUGAGUGAAGAAGGUUUUCGGAUCGUAAAACUCUGUUGUUAGAGAAGAACAAGGACGUUAGUAACUGAACGUCCCCUGACGGUAUCUAACCAGAAAGCCACGGCUAACUACGUGCCAGCAGCCGCGGUAAUACGUA
RNAcentral lists this ribosomal RNA (453 nucleotides) under uncultured bacterium. Its description in RNAcentral is "bacterial SSU rRNA". It matches the Rfam family "Bacterial small subunit ribosomal RNA", at positions 90 to 529 of the family's 1533-position model. The record is from RNAcentral.